GAUGAAGAACGUAGCGAAAUGCGAUAAGUAAUGUGAAUUGCAGAAUUCAGUGAAUCAUCGAAUCUUUGAACGCACAUUGCGCCCGCCAGUAUUCUGGCGGGCAUGCCUGUUCGAGCGUCAUUUCAACCCUCAGGCCCCCAGUGCCUGGUGUUGGGGAUCGGCAGCAGGGCGUCAAGCCCGCCGGCCCCGAAAUCUAGUGGCGGUCUCGCUGUAGUCCUCCUCUGCGUAGUAGCACAACCUCGCAGUUGGAACGCGGCGGUGGCCAUGCCGUUAAACACCCCACUUCUGAAAGUUGACCUCGGAUCAGGUAGGAAUACCCGCUGAACUAAGCAUAUCAAUAAGCGGAGGA
Molecule: unclassified non-coding RNA, 349 nt
Filed under: soil metagenome
Description: partial contains 5.8S ribosomal RNA, internal transcribed spacer 2, and large subunit ribosomal RNA
Rfam family: 5.8S ribosomal RNA (bases 1-120)
Source: RNAcentral